GACGAACGCUGGCGGCGUGCUUAACACAUGCAAGUCGAACGGGAUAAUUUGAGAGCUUGCUCUUAGAGAAUCUAGUGGCAAACGGGUGAGUAACACGUAGACAACCUGCCGACAGGAUGGGGACAACAUUCCGAAAGGAAUGCUAAUACCGAAUGAAGCGGAGGAGAGGCAUCUCUCCUCCGUGAAAGAUGGCCUCUGAAUAUGCUAUCACCUGUCGAUGGGUCUGCGUCUGAUUAGCUAGUUGGUGAGGUAACGGCUCACCAAGGCGACGAUCAGUAGCCGGUAUGAGAGGAUGAACGGCCACAUUGGGACUGAGACACGGCCCAGACUACUACGGGAGGCAGCAGUGGGGAAUCUUCCGCAAUGGGCGCAAGCCUGACGGAGCAACGCCGCGGGAGGGAAGAAGGUCUUCGGAUCGUAAAGCUCUGUUGACGGGGGCGAACGUGCGAAGGGUGAAUAAUCCUUUGUAAUGACGGUACCUGUCGAGGAAGCCACGGCUAACUACGUG
Molecule: ribosomal RNA, 508 nt
Filed under: uncultured bacterium
Lineage: Bacteria
Description: partial 16S ribosomal RNA
Rfam family: Bacterial small subunit ribosomal RNA
Source: RNAcentral